Molecule: unclassified non-coding RNA, 343 nt
Filed under: soil metagenome
Description: partial contains 5.8S ribosomal RNA, internal transcribed spacer 2, and large subunit ribosomal RNA
Rfam family: 5.8S ribosomal RNA (bases 1-120)
Source: RNAcentral
GAUGAAGAACGUAGCGAAACGCGAUAAGUAAUGUGAAUUGCAGAAUCCAGUGAAUCAUCGAAUCUUUGAACGCACAUUGCGCCCGCCAGCAUUCUGGCGGGCAUGCCUGUUCGAGCGUCAUUUCAACCCUCGACCUCCCCUUGGGGAGGUCGGCGUUGGGGACCGACAGCACACCGCCGGCCCUGAAAUGGAGUGGCGGCCCGUCCGCGGCGACCUCUGCGCAGUAAUACAGCUCGCACCGGGACCCCGACGCGGCCACGCCGUAAAACACCCAACUUCUGAACGUUGACCUCGAAUCAGGUAGGACUACCCGCUGAACUUAAGCAUAUCAAUAAGCGGAGGA